GUAUCAUGGCUCAGAUUGAACGCUGGCGGCAGGCCUAACACAUGCAAGUCGAACGGUAACAGGAAACAGCUUGCUGUUUCGCUGACGAGUGGCGGACGGGUGAGUAAUGUCUGGGAAACUGCCUGAUGGAGGGGGAUAACUACUGGAAACGGUAGCUAAUACCGCAUAACGUCGCAAGACCAAAGAGGGGGGACCUUCGGGCCUCUUGCCAUCGGAUGUGCCCAGAUGGGAGUUAGCUUGUUGGU
RNAcentral lists this ribosomal RNA (245 nucleotides) under uncultured bacterium. Its description in RNAcentral is "partial 16S ribosomal RNA". It matches the Rfam family "Bacterial small subunit ribosomal RNA", at positions 14 to 253 of the family's 1533-position model. The record is from RNAcentral.